CAGCCGCCACGGUAAUACGGAGGGUGCAAGCGUUAAUCGGAAUUACUGGGCGUAAAGCGCACGCAGGCGGUCUGACAAGUCAGAUGUGAAAUCCCCGGGCUUAACCUGGGAACUGCAUUUGAAACUGUCAGGCUGGAGUCUUGUAGAGGGGGGUGGAAUUCCAGGUGUAGCGGUGAAAUGCGUAGAGAUCUGGAGGAAUACCGGUGGCGAAGGCGGCCCCCUGGACAAAGACUGACGCUCAGGUGCGAAAGCGUGGGGAGCAAACAGGAUUAGAUACCCGAGUAGUCCCUGUCUCUUAUAA
This 301-nucleotide ribosomal RNA is filed under the name uncultured bacterium. RNAcentral's name for it is "partial 16S ribosomal RNA". It matches the Rfam family "Bacterial small subunit ribosomal RNA", at positions 509 to 809 of the family's 1533-position model. The record is from RNAcentral.